RNAcentral lists this ribosomal RNA (468 nucleotides) under uncultured bacterium. RNAcentral describes it as "partial 16S ribosomal RNA". It matches the Rfam family "Bacterial small subunit ribosomal RNA", at positions 28 to 507 of the family's 1533-position model. The record is from RNAcentral.
GACGAACGCUGGCGGCGUGCUUAACACAUGCAAGUCGAACGGAAAGGCCCUGCUUUUGUGGGUUGCUCGAGUGGCGAACGGGUGAGUAACACGUGAGUAACCUGCCCUUGACUUUGGGGUAACUUCAGGAAACUGGGGCUAAUACCGGAUAGGAGCUCCCGCUGCACGGUGGGGGAUGGAAAGUUUCGGCGGUUGGGGAUGGACUAGCUGCUUAUCCGCUUGUUGGUGGGGUAGUGGCUUACCAAGGCUUUGACGGGUACGCGGCCUUGGAGGGUGACCGGCCACAUUGGGACUGCGAUACGGCCCAGACUGCUACGGGAGGCAGCAGUGGGGAAUAUUGCACAAUGGGCGGAAGCCUGAUGCAGCAACGCCGAGUGCGGGAUGACGGCCUUCGGGUUGUAAACCGCUUUCGCCUGUGACGAAGCGUGAGUGACGGUAAUGGGUAAAGAAGCCACGGCUAACUACGUG